UGAGGCACCACCAUGAACAAGCCCGAUCCCGUCUGACCUCGGAAGCUAAGCAGGGUCGGGCCUGGUUAGUACUUGAAUGGGAGACCACCUAGGAAAAUCAGGUGCUAUAG
RNAcentral lists this ribosomal RNA (110 nucleotides) under Pteropus alecto (black flying fox). Lineage: Eukaryota; Metazoa; Chordata; Mammalia; Chiroptera; Pteropodidae. The record is from RNAcentral.